GACGAACGCUGGCGGCGUGCCUAAUACAUGCAAGUAGAACGCUGAAGGAGGAGCUUGCUCUUCUGGAUGAGUUGCGAACGGGUGAGUAACGCGUAGGUAACCUGCCUGGUAGCGGGGGAUAACUAUUGGAAACGAUAGCUAAUACCGCAUAAGAGUAGAUGUUGCAUGACAUUUACUUAAAAGGUGCAAUUGCAUCACUACCAGAUGGACCUGCGUUGUAUUAGCUAGUUGGUGGGGUAACGGCUUACCAAGGCGACGAUACAUAGCCGACCUGGGAGGGUUAUCGGCCACACUGGGACUGGGACACGGCCCAGACUUCUUCGGGAGGCAGCAGGAGGGAAACUUCGGCAAUGGACGGAAGUCUGACCGAGCAACGCCGCGUGAGGGAAGAAGGUUUUCGGAUCGUAAAGCUCUGUUGUAAGAGAAGAACGAGUGUGGGAGUGGAAAGUUCACACUGUGACGGUAUCUUACCAGAAAGGGACGGCUAACUACGUG
Molecule: ribosomal RNA, 495 nt
Filed under: uncultured bacterium
Lineage: Bacteria
Description: partial 16S ribosomal RNA
Rfam family: Bacterial small subunit ribosomal RNA
Source: RNAcentral